UCAGUCUUAUAAUCUUUGUUUUAUGUUAAUGCUGGUCAGCUGUGCCUAGACUCCAAAGGAGGAGGGUAUAACUAGGUAUGUCUGACUCCUGCCCUAUGAUGACAGCCUGAACUAGUUUUUCAGGUUUCUCCGGGAUCCUCUUGGCCAAGAGGGCUCCAUUCAGUUGGUGGGGUGCUUAUAAUUGUUUUUUGAUUGACAUAGGCAAUAGGGAGCUAUUGAGCAUUCUCAAUGACAUGGCCACAUUUUUUUUUUUAGAAUAAUGAUUGGCAACAUCCUGGUUGAGGAUGAUUUAGAUAUGAAAGAUAUUACAAAGGAAUGGCUUCUGUUUGGUUGUUUUACUAUUAACACUACAGUUAUUAUUUAAAAAACAAGUCCUGCCUUUGGUGGAUAUUUCACCUUUUAAUCAUACAUUUGUGGAGUGCAAGUAUUUGAUGUGAAUUACUGACUGUAGACUAUCAACAAUAUUUCAGGUGGUGGAAAACUUCAUCAUCCUGUGCUGAAAGAAUUAAUCAAGGUGUAAAGGGAAGAUUUAAGUCUAUGAUUCUCAACCUUGGUUGCAUAUUGGAGUCACCUGGGGAGCUGUAAAAAAAUACAGAUGUCUGGGUCUCACCAUAGAGAAGUCUGGGUUGAUGUCCAGGCAGCAGGACUUUAAAAGCUUACCAGGUUAAUUUUAAUGCCCAGCCAAGAUUGAAAACUACUAGCAAGAGAACCAGCAGUCUGGAGAGUUGGAAGCCAAACCUAGUGCUGAAUUUGCUGACUGGUCUUCUCCUAUAGAGAUGCUAGUCCUAGGCUUGGUCCUCAGCCACUUUCUAUCUCUAGCCCAACUUCUGUGCCAUCUUCCUGCUUUCAGUGAUUCAGCUGCCAGUAGGCAGGCCUGUUUGGGACUGCUUGGUCACAGUUGGAAGACAAGUGCAAUUUUUGGUGUAGGCUGACCAGGCCAUCGCUGGCUGGGCUUUGCUGGCCAGAACUCAGAGAAGUUGUGAGGUUCUGUUUUGGAAUUAUUAAUUAAGGGCUUUCCAACUCAUCUAGCAGAAAGAGCCUCCACUUCUACCAAAGCAUUCCAUUUGGCUUUGGAGUUCUGACAAGCCUGCCUGUGGGGUCUCAAAUGUCACUCUACAGUCACCAGUCUUUCAGUAAUGGCCUGUGGUUGGCUAUAGCUGUUCAGGAAAUUAAAAUUCCAAAGUUCAAGGCAUUACUAUUAUUUUAUUUUUGGCAGAGUGAGGGGUACGAACUGAAGGAGCCCCAGGAGGUACUGCCUAGGUAUGGGUGGGUGAGGAGGGGGGCGGUCCCAGGAUUCAGAGUAAGGAGUGGAGUUCGACUGUGAGCUCCCUCUCCUAGAAAUGACUGGCUGUAUGUCUAUCUAGGAGAGCGGUCAUAAGCAGAGGGUUUCCUUCCUGAGGUCAGACUUGAUUAACCUUGGGAUUGGCACAAAUAGAAACUUAGCUUCUGGAGUAUGUGGUGCAGACUGGCAUUGAGAAAGUAAUCAUAUAAAUUGUUAACCUAGAACUUCUCCGUGUCUUAUCACUGGACUCAGGGCAAAGUCUCCCUUCUAGGUUUCUCUGGCACUUGUGGCCUGGGCUGUGCUGGUGUUUCCAGCCUCAUCUCUACCAUGGCUGCACUCCCAUUCCUCUUCCUCCCAUUCUCUCCUUCCCCCAUUGUGCAUUUACUCUGUGCCAGGGAUUUGACCUGGAUUAUUUCUCUUGGAGAUAGGCAUGGAUUAUCUAACUUGCCCGGAUGGACUUGGUUAAAGGUGACUGUCCAGCUCUGGUGGGAGGACAAUGUCUCCCCUUUCUGGGGACUUUGGGGCAUUUGACAAGACCAUUAGUACUUAAAGACGGAUGUUGUGCCUGAGGGUGGUAGGGCGGUCACAGAGAGAAGUGACUCUUUACAUUUCAAAUGCAAUUAAAUUAUUGCUCACCCCCAAACCUCUGAUGCCAACUACAGCAUGACUCUAGGAAGCUUCACAGCAUUUCCUGUUGGGGCAUUUCAGACUUCAAGGGGGCAUUUCCCAUUACAGAUAUAAAGAAGGGAUGCUGACUUCUGAAUUAGAGAAUCAGUACCUGGAAGCUGACUGUAGCACUCAUCAGCUAUGUGAACUUGGCAGUGUUUUGUAGAAGAAACAGGGGAUUGGAAUCAGACUGCAUUUGAAUGCAGAUUCUCCCUUAUAAUGGUGCCAUAUCAGGCUGGCAUAUUUCAUUAGAAGCGUGGGAACCCUCAAGGACCCUGGGUACUCACUUGACGUUGAGAGAUGAGCCAUGUGUUUGUUACCUUCAGCUUCAGAACUUGAAGUUUCAGGGAAUCUGUUGAUGACUGGGCCAUGGAAUUAGAGGAGCAUGUUUUGGACUACAAGCAGUGGAGAUAAGAAUCCCCAACUCAUCCAUCAUCAGCUUUGUAA
This is a non-coding RNA of Macaca mulatta (Rhesus monkey), 2395 nucleotides long. The record is from RefSeq and is a predicted model, not a curated record. NCBI's taxonomy places the organism in Eukaryota, Metazoa, Chordata, Mammalia, Primates, Cercopithecidae.